GAUGAACGCUGGCGGCGUGCCUAAUACAUGCAAGUCGAGCGAACAGAUGACGAGCUUGCUCCUCUGACGUUAGCGGCGGACGGGUGAGUAACACGUGGAUAACCUACCUAUAAGACUGGGAUAACUUCGGGAAACCGGAGCUAAUACCGGAUAAUAUAUUGAACCGCAUGGUUCAAUAGUGAAAGACGGUUUUGCUGUCACUUAUAGAUGGAUCCGCGCCGCAUUAGCUAGUUGGUAAGGUAACGGCUUACCAAGGCAACGAUGCGUAGCCGACCUGAGAGGGUGAUCGGCCACACUGGAACUGAGACACGGUCCAGACUCCUACGGGAGGCAGCAGUAGGGAAUCUUCCGCAAUGGGCGAAAGCCUGACGGAGCAACGCCGCGUGAGUGAUGAAGGUCUUCGGAUCGUAAAACUCUGUUAUUAGGGAAGAACAAAUGUGUAAGUAACUAUGCACGUCUUGACGGUACCUAAUCAGAAAGCCACGGCUAACUACGUG
Molecule: ribosomal RNA, 497 nt
Filed under: uncultured bacterium
Lineage: Bacteria
Description: partial 16S ribosomal RNA
Rfam family: Bacterial small subunit ribosomal RNA
Source: RNAcentral